This 250-nucleotide ribosomal RNA is filed under the name uncultured bacterium. RNAcentral describes it as "partial 16S ribosomal RNA". It matches the Rfam family "Bacterial small subunit ribosomal RNA", at positions 524 to 773 of the family's 1533-position model. The record is from RNAcentral.
UACGUAGGUGGCGAGCGUUACUCGGAAUUACUAGGCGUAAAGCGCGUGUAGGCGGGAGGUUAAGUCUGCUGUUAAAUCUCACAGCUCAACUGUGAAAUGCCGGCGGAUACUGGCCUUCUUGAAUUCGGUAGAGGAAACUGGAAUUCCAGGUGUAGCGGUGAAAUGCGUAGAUAUCUGGAAGAACGCCAAAGGCGAAGGCAGGUUUCUGGGCCGCAAUUGACGCUGAGACGCGAAAGCUAGGGGAGCAAAC